AGCCUUCUGUAUUCGAGCUGAGAUUUCGUUAGCGAUCAACUCGUUGAGGUUGAUGCGACUCCCCAAAUAAGAAUAGCG
RNAcentral lists this microRNA precursor (78 nucleotides) under Trichobilharzia regenti. RNAcentral describes it as "mir-3492 microRNA precursor family". It matches the Rfam family "mir-3492 microRNA precursor family". The record is from Rfam by way of RNAcentral. Lineage: Eukaryota; Metazoa; Platyhelminthes; Trematoda; Strigeidida; Schistosomatidae.